UACGUAGGGUGCAAGCGUUGUCCGGAAUUAUUGGGCGUAAAGAGCUCGUAGGCGGUCUGUCGCGUCGGCUGUGAAAUCCCGGAGCUCAACCCCGGGCCUGCAGUCGAUACGGGCAGACUAGAGUGCGGUAGGGGAGACUGGAAUUCCUGGUGUAGCGGUGAAAUGCGCAGAUAUCAGGAGGAACACCGGUGGCGAAGGCGGGUCUCUGGGCCGUAACUGACGCUGAGGAGCGAAAGCGUGGGGAGCGAACAGG
Molecule: ribosomal RNA, 253 nt
Filed under: uncultured bacterium
Lineage: Bacteria
Description: partial 16S ribosomal RNA
Rfam family: Bacterial small subunit ribosomal RNA
Source: RNAcentral